CGAAACAUUGAGAAUUUCUCAAACAUCUCGAACGAGCAACGAAUUGGACGAUCCACAAAAAAGGAUAAGGAGUGAGAUGACAACUCGAAUCCUUCUCCCAACACUUAACAAAAAUAUUCUUGAAACCUUUUUAUAUAAAGAGUACGAACUACACAACGGCCGGUAAAUGGCAGGGAUUCGAAGCCACAUACGGCCAGUCCCACUACAUAAAACACGGCCACACUUGGCCGGACACAAACCAACGAUAGAAAUAUUUUACAAGGGAACACUUUCCCGAUAAACCAUAGAAGGCCUCGCCAAUCAACCAUCAAUAU
This 314-nucleotide long non-coding RNA is filed under the name Brassica napus (rape). RNAcentral's name for it is "long non-coding RNA (BNAP_LNC015639)". Lineage: Eukaryota; Viridiplantae; Streptophyta; Magnoliopsida; Brassicales; Brassicaceae. The record is from RNAcentral.